Molecule: long non-coding RNA, 2445 nt
Organism: Equus caballus (horse)
Lineage: Eukaryota; Metazoa; Chordata; Mammalia; Perissodactyla; Equidae
Source: Ensembl
AUCGACUGUUUGAAAUUACACGGUAUUCAUUUGUUGCUAUUGUAAUGUCUGUCGUCUUCUAUUUCCCCUUCCCCAGCCCAAUGCCGAAACUCCCACACUCCGAUCCUCUUCUUUUCUUUUUAUUAAUCUUGGGAGAUAACUUCCUUAUUUUUAGCAGGCUGACACCACUAGGAGGACUAUGAUAGUGAGGAUCAUAAUAAGGACUUGCACACUUUCAGCUGGGGCUCAGUCACCACCCAUUGGAGUUUUCAACUAAGCCUCGGAGCCUUUGUCUCUGCCAGCAAAGAAAUGGCUGGCAAACGCCCCCACGGCUCCUGAGCUGCCUGGCUACUCUCAGCUCCCCAGUGUGAUUCUGCUAGACUGGAUGAUACUGAAAACCCGUCACCAGUCGUGCAGGCUGCUCUCCUAGAGCUCAGGAACAAGCUGAAGUCACAGGCCGUCACUUGGACUGAUGAACUGUGGAAACAAGUGGGAUCCAGCAUGCACUCAAUCAAGGUGGCUCCAUCGUCAUUAUGGCCAUCCACAACGUCACCAUCAUCAGUUUGCUGUGUAGGAAGAGACAGUCGCCUUUCAGGCAGUGAUUCUAAGCAUGAAGAGUCUGGGGAAGCACAUCGACGUGAAAGACCAAAUAGAGUGAGAGCCAACACAUCUCUCUGGAGAAAAUGGCCCCCGGGGGAACUGCCAGGUUGGAGAGUGAGGGUUGGGGAGGAAACGGGGAGGUUUUAUUUCUCACAACACGUCCUGUGCCCCUCCAGCCGAUACUUAAAAAGACCAGAAGCUCGUACACGUGGUGGGGAUAAAUUUUCGAAAAGUUCACUGACAGUGAGCUGAUACGCGCAAAAUGUUAAUUUCUUAAAGAUUUCUGAUGACUGGAUUUGCUUCUUCAUAUUGAGGCUCCAUUCUGACUGAUGCAGAAAAUUGAUCACAUCAAUUCCAGGUAAACCAGUCAAAUUCAGCAAUCUCGACAUGCUCCCCUAGAAGUGCCAAAAUGUCAUUUUAGGUUGACAGCCAAGCCCUUUCAGGGUAUUUCUCCCCUCCCCUUUCCUUCUUCCUGGGGUUGAUGUUCAACUGGCCGGGGCGGGGGGCGGUGCUUACACACCUAUAGCUGAAGCACCAGUAAGAAGUGGGCAUCCUUCUAUCUUGAUCUCAUUAGCCUGCUCUAGAAUAAUUAUUUCUCUUCUAGUUCUCGGCCGUGCCACCUCCCCCUGGAAAUCCAUUGAGAUAAAACCGCAUCCUCAUCCAGUCCUGGGGAUGGUCACCCAUGUCACCGCUGACGUGUUCCCCUCCUUUUAGCUCUGAGACUCCUUCCGGCUUUAUCAGGGCUCUCACUCCUUCUCCUUCUUAAAUUUCUGUUUCUAGUAGUAGGGGUGGGGCCUGAGAACUUUUAGUUGUUUUUAUGCUAAACUAUACUAAAAAUUAUUUGUUGUUUUUCUGAAAUUCAAGGGUAGCUGGGCAUUCUGCAUUUUAUCUGGCAACCCGACCUCCUGGGCUAGUGCAAAGCCACUGGGAACUCAGGGCACUGUCUCCACCCUCCCUCCCCACCGUAGGCAGGCCAUACCACCAUCCGACCUGAGUCUGCUGCAUUGUGCAAGCACAGGAGACUUCUCUGUGCAGAAAUAAACGAAGCCCGACCAAAUGGAAACAAGCAAAGGCUAUCUAUUCAGAGCUUGCUAUGAUGGGGGGGUCAGCCAUCAUCACUUGCAUUUUGGCAGAUACAGAGAGAGGUGGGAAAGCUUGAUAGUGGAAAAAGGAAAGGCUUCAGGUGUGCCCUGAUUGGAGGCUGUUGGCGUGGGGGGGCCAGAGGUGGGCUUACUAGAAGCAGGGCAUCCUAUGUGACUGGCUAGGAGCUCAUGGUUAGCUUUCUCUGGUUGGUCUUAAGUUGGAAGCAGGGACAAAAGUUAGGGAAGCUGUCAGUCAUUCAGUCCUGGUGUUGGGGCCCGAUUGUUACAGGGGUUACUGUUUGGCUUCCUGGACUGAUUGCUAGAGAUGGUGGUCUUACUUCCUGCAAGUCUGACUUGUAGAUAGCACACUGACUUCCUGGGCUGAGUACUAUAGAGGAUGGGUUGGUUUCCUGGCCUGGCUCUGCAGAGUGUGGGUCAGAGUUGUAUUUAUAUACGUGGUCUGGCCAUUGUCCAUUUGUACAUCCGGCAUCUCAUCUACAAGACUUGUCUUUCCCUGGACCUCACCAAGGCCUCUCCUCUCUCAGAUCUCCAGACUGAAUGAGGGGAGCCUGGCACAGGGUCACACACUUGCAUCUAACUCUGUCACGUAAUCUACAACUAUUCUCUCUUUCUUUUGUUUUAUUGAGUGGAGGGGCUAAGGGAGAGGAGGAAAAGGAAAGAAAGAAAGGAAGGAAGGAAGGAAGGAAGGAAGGAAGGAAGAAAGAAAGAACGAAAGAAAGAAAGAAAGAAAGACAUCCCUGCUUGGGGGCUGGCCCAGUGGUGC